GCCCGGAUAGCUCAGUCGGUAGAGCAGGGAUUGAAAAUCCCCGUGUCCUUGGUCGAUUCCGAGUCCGGGCACCA
RNAcentral lists this transfer RNA (74 nucleotides) under Salmonella enterica subsp. enterica serovar Worthington. RNAcentral's name for it is "tRNA-Phe". It matches the Rfam family "tRNA". Rfam says of the family: Transfer RNA (tRNA) molecules are approximately 80 nucleotides in length. Their secondary structure includes four short double-helical elements and three loops (D, anti-codon, and T loops). The record is from RNAcentral. Lineage: Bacteria; Pseudomonadati; Pseudomonadota; Gammaproteobacteria; Enterobacterales; Enterobacteriaceae.